CAGCAGCCGCGGGAAUACGAAGGGUGCAAGCGUUGAUCGGAAUUACUGGGCGUAAAGCGUGCGUAGGCGGUUUGUUAAGUCUGCUGUGAAAUCCCCGGGCUCAACCUGGGAAUGGCAGUGGAUACUGGCAAGCUAGAGUGUGUCAGAGGAUGGUGGAAUUCCCGGUGUAGCGGUGAAAUGCGUAGAGAUCGGGAGGAACAUCAGUGACGAAGGCGGCCAUCUGGGACAACACUGACGCUGAGGCACGAAAGCGUGGGGAGCAAACAGGAUUAGAGACCCCUGUAGUCCCUGUCUCUUAUAC
RNAcentral lists this ribosomal RNA (301 nucleotides) under uncultured bacterium. RNAcentral's name for it is "partial 16S ribosomal RNA". It matches the Rfam family "Bacterial small subunit ribosomal RNA", at positions 509 to 807 of the family's 1533-position model. The record is from RNAcentral.